CAAUAGCGUAUAUUAAAGUUGUUGCAGUUAAAAAGCUCGUAGUUGGAUUUCUGGUCGGAAGCUCCUGUCCUCUGAUGAGCGUACAAGUGCGUCCUACCAUCCUUCUGCUAACCUUUAAGGCUUUCGCGGCUUUCUAGGGGCUCAGAUAUUUUACCUUGAGAAAAUUAGAGUGUUUCAGGCAGGCUAGCGCCGGAAUACAUUAGCAUGGAAUAAUGGAAUAGGACUUUUGCCUCUUCUGUUGGUCAUGAGGCUCGAGUAAUGAUUAAUAGGGAUAGUUGGGGGCAUUAGUACUUAACUGUCAGAGGUGAAAUUCUCGGAUUUGUUAAAGACUAACUUAUGCGAAAGCAUUUGCCAAGGAUGUUUUCAUUAA
Molecule: ribosomal RNA, 370 nt
Filed under: uncultured eukaryote
Lineage: Eukaryota
Description: partial 18S ribosomal RNA
Rfam family: Eukaryotic small subunit ribosomal RNA
Source: RNAcentral